AGAUGGCGACCGGCGCACGGGUGAGUAACACGUAUCCAACCUGCCGAUAACUCGGGGAUAGCCUUUCGAAAGAAAGAUUAAUACCCGAUGGCAUAAUAGAACCGCAUGGUUUGAUUAUUAAAGAAUUUCGGUUAUCGAUGGGGAUGCGUUCCAUUAGGCAGUUGGUGGGGUAAUGGCCCACCAAACCUUCGAUGGAUAGGGGGUUCUGAGAGGAAGGUCCCCCACAUUGGAACUGAGACACGGUCCAAACUCCUACGGGAGGCAGCAUG
This 269-nucleotide ribosomal RNA is filed under the name uncultured bacterium. Its description in RNAcentral is "partial 16S ribosomal RNA". It matches the Rfam family "Bacterial small subunit ribosomal RNA", at positions 86 to 353 of the family's 1533-position model. The record is from RNAcentral.